AAAACUACAAUCAUGCUGGAAAAGGAUUCUUAUUUUUCAUUAUACGCAAGCAUUUAAGGCUACUGCAAAAGGAAUCCAGAAAGGUGUCCAAAUCCCUGAACGUAACAUCUGUGCCAAUAAUAAACAAAUCCACAAGGCUGACACAUUCCUCCGUCCCUGCUGGAAUAAUACAACUGCAUUCCUGCCUUCUGGAGGGUUUCUUCCCCAAAGAGUAGGAUUUUGCACUGCUACUAAUGCAGCCUGCUUCCCCCACGCCCUCGGAUGUGUAUGCUCAUUCCAGAAAGUCUCAAGGCAGCUCUAAUGACACUUUAACCAGCCUCGGCCUCAGUGGGUGCUUUGUUCGAGCCCAAACAAAACAAGAAUUGACAGCGUUCGAGUGUCUCCUACUGUCCUGUCACACUCGGGAGAGUUUCCUUUGGAUGAAGUUUCUUUCCGAUGCCAUGAGGGCACUACGGAGAGAAAAUGCGCCUUGAAUGACAUCUACCUAGCAGGCCCCUGCACCGUCAUACCCGUACUCCCAGAUUUCGCUUGGCCGCACUUCUGGAAGAAAAUCGUCGAAAUUAAGAGCUGGAACUAGGGACCUCGGAAGAUCAUCGAGUCCAACCCCCCUCCUCUGUGCAGGAAUAUGGUGAAACGCUCUGCAUUUAUCCUUAUUGAACUGCAUCCAGUUCCACUCCACCCACCUUUCCAGCUUGUGCAGGCCUGCUUGGAUCCGCAUCGUAUCCCCUAGCAUGACUGCUUUUCCCCAUAACUUAGUAUCAUCCACAAACCUGGCCAGCGUGCUUUCCACAUCCUCAUCUAAAUCGCUGUUAAAGAUGUUGACCAGCACGGGGCCAAGAACUAAACCCUGCGGGACACCACCUUCCUGCAUAUAGAAAUGGACCUUUUCUGCGCUCUGAGGUUCGCUACCUUGAGGAACAACCACCCUUCCUGAACUCCCUUCCCCUCCAGUCCCUCUUCCCAUAGGGUCUCUCCCACUAUUUCCCAAAGCUCAUUGAAGUCAGCCUUCCUGAAGUCGAGCACCUCUGUCCUACUGGCUGACUUCCCAUGGUCAGGGCUGAGUGAGCACCAAGCAUUUUAAAAGUACGACAUGUUGUACGUACACCAAAAUCAUGCUUUUUGUCUCAGCCACAUGUUUAAGUUUGUGACAGGGAUCACUCAGGAGACUGUACGCAGGGCAAUCCAUAAGUGUACAGCAGCCAAGCGCAGGUCUUUGACCUCUUGGUCUUGCAUGUGUGGCUGCACUUGGCUGGGAGCACAGGGGGCCUCUGAGUAAAGCAAGGUGCAACUCUUCACCUUUGUUACACAGGAAAUUUUGAUAUUUAAAGUUGCAUUUUUGUUCUGAAUUAGAACUAAAGCAGCCUUUUUAAAAUUCCUGUGAAACAAAAAAUAAAUAAAUAAAAAUAUCAUUUUGAAAAAUUCAUUUCAAAACAAAGAUUUUGUGUCCAAUUUUUCCCCAUUUUUAUGUUACUCUUCUUUUUAUAUCACUUCAAGAUAUGUCAGUAAUAGUACUGCAUAAUAUGACAUAUAUUAUGCCAAGACAUGUCAUAAUAUGCCAUCCUUAUGUUAGCCUAGAAUAAUUUUCCUGAGCUACUGAAAACAGCUGUUCUUCUGUUGUAAUACACUGAUUGCUUUCCCUCUCUUCUUGUUUAAAGUGUCUCCAGUUUGUGGUAUAACAAAUCAGCCUGACACUCAACAAGGAACAAAUACAUAAAAGAAAAUACAAAA
Long non-coding RNA from Alligator mississippiensis (American alligator), 1728 nucleotides. RefSeq lists it as uncharacterized. The transcript has 3 exons. The record is from RefSeq and is a predicted model, not a curated record. NCBI's taxonomy places the organism in Eukaryota, Metazoa, Chordata, Crocodylia, Alligatoridae.